Biomphalaria glabrata is the source of this 3923-nucleotide long non-coding RNA. RefSeq lists it as uncharacterized. The record is from RefSeq and is a predicted model, not a curated record. Lineage: Eukaryota; Metazoa; Mollusca; Gastropoda; Planorbidae. The transcript has 7 exons.
AGAUCAUGGAUGGCAUACCAGCUGAUUUUGGUGUGUUUAGCUUUAGCUUAUAGAUCUAGAAUCUUAGAUCUAGAAUCUAUCUUUUUUUCACGCGCUGUCUCACGAAGAUUUAAAAUAAUUAUUAGAUCUAGAACUUGUUGAUGCAAAUAAAGCAGCGUUUCUUUCAAUGUGUACAUCUUAUGGUGAAGAGUGGUUCAGGCAAGACCAGUAUGUGGUCCAUAAUACUUGCUAUUUGUAUUGCAAGGGACACAAGAAGAAUAGGUGCAACAAUUUCCUCCUCUGAUGAUUGGGUAAUUACAUUUGAAAGUAUCACAGAUCUCCAGUGGCUAGGAAGCAGAGCUCAGGGGCCUAUGUUUCUUGGCAAACUCUGUAAUGAAAAAGUUAGCUGUCAAGAAGGUCAGAGAUGUUAAAGAGACAGACAUUUGGAACUUAAGGAAACUGAAUCACCCCAACAUUAUAGCUUUCAAUGUUCUUGUGGCAUCCAAUGAUAUUGUCAGGAACCAGCCGAGAGUGGAAUGAAAAAAAAAAAGCACUAAAAUGUCAUUUGCUGGCACUGUGACCUGAAUGGCAUCAGAAGUCAUUUGAAAUAAAAUGUGCAGUGAAAUGAAAAAGUAGACAUUUGGAGUGCAAAGCUCAAAAAUAGACCAUCAUUUAGACAAAUUCUCAUGCACCUUGAGAUUGCCUCUGCUGAAUUACUUUGGUUCUGACGGGAGUUUUUUUCUGAAUCUCAAUGAAAUCCUUAACUGAAAGACACAGAUUCUGUCAUUAUCAUCAAGAUAGUCUAAGAAAGGAUCUGAGGUGAGAACAAUUACUGACUAUGUACAAUAAUAGUAGAAAGAGUAUAAUUCGUCCAAUCAUAAAAGUUCUAGAAAAGCUAGAUCGACUUGGUAAAAAAACUGACACAUAGGUCAGAGUCUGAAGUCACCAUCCCUGACUCUAUAAAAAACACAGAAGGGAGCAUGACAACCAGGUCUUAGCUGGUACCACCACCUCCUACGAAAAUGCGUGCCAGGAAGUCUCGUCAUCGUCGCAAUAACAGCAGAGGGUCUAUGAAAGACAUUACCUCUCGGCUCAAAUCUCAAUCUACAUAUGAAGCUUCACUGGACACCCAAACACCAGACAAACUAAACCCUGCAGGGCUUCAUACUACUGACCUAUUCUAAGACACUAAACUUUUUGGGACCUGCCACUGCAAUCAGGGAGUAUCGAAGUGAAGAUGAAGCUGAUGGACAAGAGACUAGGUUAACAACAUUAAAAAACGUCAAGUUCGUUGUAGCAAAAACUCAUCCACUUCUUCUGCUAGGCACUUGCCAAUCUCAAAACUUUUUCCUGUAAGUAAGUAAAAGCAGCACUCAUCCUAUCAAGACAAUAACAUUAAUGAUGUUUGCUUUGGCUGUAAUGGUGGCUGCAGUGAUGCUACUUGUAGCAGCAAAUGCUCAUCCCAGGUCAGUGCUGAUGUGGAGAACACAUGUGACCUAUGCCCAGCCCAAAACAGAACAUGGAAACUAUGAGUGAAAAAUCCUCUCCGGAUAUUGACCUCUCAUCCUGACCUGAAACAUUUAUUUCAAUGCUGACAUAACAAACAGAUGGUUUGGUUAUUGUUGUAUUUGAAAAACACAAAUGUCUACCAAAAUUGAGGCCCACUUUCUUCAAUUCUUUACAAAGGUAACCUGCAGCAUGUUAAAAGGAUGAAGUUUGUGAUAGGCUUCUUAAAAAGUUGGUUCCAAAAGAAAUUAAACUUAGUUAAUUCAUAAGUAUCAAUUUUAACCAGGUGUAAUAGUUUGUAUUUCAAAUGUCUUAUAAGUCCACUUGGGCAUUAUUUGUUUAUUGGGAGCUCUGUUUGAUUAGCCAGUGCCCUAGGAAUUUAAUCUCUUUCCUAAAAAUGAGCAUUUUAAAAAAUUUCUUUAAAACUGAAAGAUGACUCAUUUUCAAAAGCUAAUUGCAUUCAAGGUUUGGGUGGCAGAUUGGCUUAGCCAAUACACAAGGAACUACUGCAUGUUGGUAAUAAGCUAAUGCACAGGAAAAUAGUAUUUUAUUGACUAUUGCUAACAGCCAAUAUGAAAAGGAUUUUCAGCCAGUGCAUGUUUUCAAGAGGGGAAAUGAAAUCACAACAAAUUUCCGUUAGGAUCAAUAAAGCAGUCUUAGUCUUAGUCUUAAAAUUCCUCUUAAAUAAAUACACACAAUGAUUUUGUAUGCAGUUUUCUUUGCUUCUUUUCUCCUCAUUUUCAUCUUUGCUAAUGACACAUUUAUUUGUUUAAUAACAAUAUUUUAUCAAAUCUUUGAAAUAUAAAAAAUAAUUUAAAACUAACAUAUCACAUUUUUUAAAACUGUUUUGUUAUGUAUCUUAGAACAUGGUAACCACUAUUGGCAAUCCGAGAUAAUAAUAAAAAUAGAUGCUUAUUUUUUCAUGUCUUUUUUUUGCAUUCUUAAAAAGAAUGUAUGCAUCCAAAACAGUGUUACCCAACUUAGAGCCUGCAGGCCAUAACUGACCCAUGAUGCAGUGCAGUUUGGCUUUUGAAGCUUCUGCUCAUGGUGCAGAGACUAAUUUCAUUGGACUUGCCUUUUUUUGUGUGGCCCAUGACAUGUAUAAGAAAUUCAGCCUUCAGGCUGGAAAAGGUUGGGCAGCACUGACCUUAAUCAUCCCUUUUGAGUUUUGUCCACAUCAAUACAUGAUUUUAUUUCCUGUCCAAUUUUUCAUAGACCUAAAAAACUUUUUUUAAAUGUUGAUAGAACAGAAAGAAAAAAAAGUUUUCUUUUUCAGGGUGGGGUGCUCUGUAACCUUAAGUUUUUGGACUAGUAUUUAAAAAUAGUAUUCAUUCCUACAAAAAGAUAAGUUUAUUGAGACUUCAAAUUGUUUUGUUGCUUUAUAAGAUCAAUUUUAAAAAAUGUCAUCACCUCCAACUUGAAUUAUUCUCAAUAUUAUUGAAUAUGAAAAACAAGGUGUGAAUUAUUUUGUCAUAGAAACAUUUAUUACAACAUAAACUGAAAAAAAAAGUUAAAUAUUAUAUAAAUAUUGUAUAUUACAAUAGCUCAUGAUUUUUACUAACGAGUUUCACUUGGGUUUCUCUGUGGCUAAUUACUCUUAUUUCAUACAGUCUGUAUAUUUGUUUGUAUAGAUCUUUAUUUAUUUUAGCACAUAUCUUCUUUUCUCUAGAACUGUUCUUAAAGUUUACCAGUGACAUUUGUAUUAGAUGUCCAGAUGAUACUUGUUUUUAUUUGACCACAUAAAUUUGUCAUUAUUCCAUUCAUUAGACAAACUGCAAAAGUUUUGCUGGAUAAAACUUGCUUCAUCAAAACAUUGGUUUUGCUGGCUGGACUAUCACCUUGAUUCUACCUCUUAUUGAAAAGAGUUCAUCUUAGUUUAUGCUUUUGUUUAACUUCUGCACUCUCAAAUCUAAUAAACGUUAAUCAUAUAAAAGUAAUGAAACAUUUUUUUUUCUUAGCCAUGUCUACUACCAUUGUUAAAAUAGAUACAAUUGUGAGGGAGUUUUAAAAAUGUAAUUUGCUAGAUUACUAGCACAACCACUCAUUGAAAUUAAUUUUAGUGGAAAAGGGGGUGUUUUCUAUGUUGUUGUUUUUUUAUGCUUUAUUAUUUUUUUUUACAUUUAAACACCUUGUAUAUUGACAGAAGAACUCUUUUGUGUUCCACUGAUUCCUACAAUCAUUCUAGUGGCAGCCAUUUUAUUUCUUGUCAUUUGUAGAACUAUGAUUCAGUUGUUAUUGUUGUGAAUUAGUCCUCCCAAUGGUUAUUAUGUAUUUAUAUGGUUUAACAUUUUUUUAAAAUUAUUGUAAAGACAAUCUAAAUAAUGCCUAUCCUGUCAGGACUUUAUUUAUGAUUAGAUUUUUAAAUGUCUAGGUAAUUAAGUAAAAUUUUAAUUGCAAUAUGUGUGUGUAUUAAAGAAUAAUUGUUAUCUUUUGCUUGA